GGCGGCGUGCCUAAUACAUGCAAGUCGAGCGAGCUGAACCAACAGAUUCACUUCGGUGAUGACGUUGGGAACGCGAGCGGCGGAUGGGUGAGUAACACGUGGGGAACCUGCCCCAUAGUCUGGGAUACCACUUGGAAACAGGUGCUAAUACCGGAUAAGAAAGCAGAUCGCAUGAUCAGCUUAUAAAAGGCGGCGUAAGCUGUCGCUAUGGGAUGGCCCCGCGGUGCAUUAGCUAGUUGGUAGGGUAACGGCCUACCAAGGCAAUGAUGCAUAGCCGAGUUGAGAGACUGAUCGGCCACAUUGGGACUGAGACACGGCCCAAACUCCUACGGGAGGCAGCAGUAGGGAAUCUUCCACAAUGGACGAAAGUCUGAUGGAGCAACGCCGCGUGAGUGAAGAAGGUUUUCGGAUCGUAAAGCUCUGUUGUUGGUGAAGAAGGAUAGAGGUAGUAACUGGCCUUUAUUUGACGGUAAUCAACCAGAAAGUCACGGCUAACUACGUGCCAGCAGCCGCGGUAAUACGUAGGUGGCAAGCGUUGUCCGGAUUUAUUGGGCGUAAAGCGAGCGCAGGCGGAAGAAUAAGUCUGAUGUGAAAGCCCUCGGCUUAACCGAGGAACUGCAUCGGAAACUGUUUUUCUUGAGUGCAGAAGAGGAGAGUGGAACUCCAUGUGUAGCGGUGGAAUGCGUAGAUAUAUGGAAGAACACCAGUGGCGAAGGCGGCUCUCUGGUCUGCAACUGACGCUGAGGCUCGAAAGCAUGGGUAGCGAACAGGAUUAGAUACCCUGGUAGUCCAUGCCGUAAACGAUGAGUGCUAAGUGUUGGGAGGUUUCCGCCUCUCAGUGCUGCAGCUAACGCAUUAAGCACUCCGCCUGGGGAGUACGACC
This 883-nucleotide ribosomal RNA is filed under the name Lactobacillus acidophilus. RNAcentral's name for it is "bacterial SSU rRNA". It matches the Rfam family "Bacterial small subunit ribosomal RNA", at positions 38 to 887 of the family's 1533-position model. The record is from RNAcentral. Lineage: Bacteria; Bacillati; Bacillota; Bacilli; Lactobacillales; Lactobacillaceae.